GGCCCAUCUGCGUUCAGAUAGCAGCACAGACAUCAGCACUGCUCCUUCAAGCAAAGGCUUCAAAGAGCUCGGAAGAGAUGUUGUGGCCUUUACCUGUUGCCCAGAAGAGCCUGGAGGCGGAUGAUAAGCUUCUCCUCCUGAUCGGUGAAGUUGCCACGCUUGAUCCCGGGCCUGAGGUGGUCACAGCAAGGCUCACCAGUGUUGGAAGGGACAGCUCUCCAAUUCCCAGGGCCAUGUUCUUGGAUGUAGGACACCAAGAUGAUGUCCUCUUCUGGUGUCCAAGGCCCCUUCUUCACACCAUUUUUGUCACAGCAUGGUGGUCUUCCCAUCUCUCUCUCCGGCUUUCUUCUUCUCGAGCUAUGAGAACAGAGUAUGAUGCUCUUCUCCUCCAACCUCACAAGGCAAGCUUCCGAGGCUGCUGCUGUUCCCAAGCUCUCCACCGGUACGGUAUAUAUACACACGAGAGACCUGAGGAGGCAAGAAGAGUCAAAGAAGGCAAGCAAGGUGCAUUUACUCGCGGAUAAUCAGCACAGAUCAAGCUGACGUGAAGGUCGAGCUUCUGUUACCGCCGCGUGCCGGCAUUUGAAUCCAGGUUUCGAUGAUAGAGAAAUGCCAGGCUAGGUUGAGUAUCCACUUGAAGUCUCCACCGAUAUCUACACUGGGAUUCUUUAAGACUGUAAGCCAGGGUGAGUUACUCUUUCUUGAAAUCUUGACGAAAGAGCUCAACCGGGGGAGACUGCUGCACAAGUUGCAGGAGCACAAAGUCAACCAACAGGAGUCAAAGGUCCACUAGAUCGCCUUUGCCCACCUCUCUGCAUAGGGCUAUAGUUCCAGGAACUGUGAGCAGAUCAUGCAUGCAGCAACACAUCCAUCCAAAAGCACGAGUCCACGAGAGCUGCACUUUGAUGGCCUGUUGUCUUGUCUUGCAUCAAAACAUUAACUUCUCAUCCACUCCUUCAC
Musa acuminata AAA Group (dessert banana) is the source of this 960-nucleotide long non-coding RNA. RefSeq lists it as uncharacterized. The transcript is spliced from 4 exons. The record is from RefSeq and is a predicted model, not a curated record. Lineage: Eukaryota; Viridiplantae; Streptophyta; Magnoliopsida; Zingiberales; Musaceae.